GGGGAACUAACCUAUCAAUAAGCGGAGGAAAAGAAACUAACAAGGAUUCCCCUAGUAACUGCGAGUGAAGCGGGAAAAGCUCAAAUUUAAAAUCUGGUGGUCUUUUGGCCAUCCGAGUUGUAAUUUAGAGAAGCGUCUUCCGCGCUGGACCGUGCACAAGUCUCCUGGAAUGGAGCGUCAUAGAGGGUGAGAAUCCCGUCUUUGGCAUGGAUCCCAGGGCUUCUGUGAUGCGCUCUCAAAGAGUCGAGUUGUUUGGGAAUGCAGCUCAAAAUGGGUGGUGAACUCCAUCUAAAGCUAAAUAUUGGCGAGAGACCGAUAGCGAACAAGUACCGUGAGGGAAAGAUGAAAAGCACUUUGGAAAGAGAGUGAAACAGUACGUGAAAUUGUUGAAAGGGAAACGCUUGAAGUCAGUCGCGUCGACCGAGACUCAGCCUCGCCUUGGCUUGGUGUACUUCUCGGCUUGACGGGUCAGCAUCAAUUUUGAUCCUUGGAUAAUGGCAAGGGAAAGGUAGCACCUUUACAGGUGUGUUAUAGUCCUCUGUCGGAUGCAAGGGUCGGGAUUGAGGAACUCAGCACGCACCUUUAGGUGUCGGGGCCUUGGCCUACGUUACGUGCUUAGGAUGUUGGCGUAAUGGCUUUAAACGACCCGUCUUGAAACACGGACCAAGGAGUCUAACAUGCCCGCGAGUGUUCGGGUGGAAAACCCGUGCGCGUAAUGAAAGUAAAAGUUGGGACCUCUGUCGUGGAGGGCACCGACGCCCGGACCAGACCUUCUGUGACGGCUCUGCGGUAGAGCGUGUAUGUUGGGACCCGAAAGAUGGUGAACUAUGCCUGAAUAGGGUGAAGCCAGAGGAAACUCUGGUGGAGGCUCGUAGCGAUUCUGACGUGCAAAUCGAUCGUCAAAUUUGGGUAUAGGGGCGAAAGACUAAUCGAACCAUCUAGUAGCUGGUUCCUGCCGAAUUCCCCCUCCAGAAA
This 975-nucleotide ribosomal RNA is filed under the name Russula sp. Its description in RNAcentral is "partial large subunit ribosomal RNA". It matches the Rfam family "Eukaryotic large subunit ribosomal RNA", at positions 27 to 980 of the family's 3401-position model. The record is from RNAcentral. Lineage: Eukaryota; Fungi; Basidiomycota; Agaricomycetes; Russulales; Russulaceae.